This 333-nucleotide ribosomal RNA is filed under the name Triticum aestivum (bread wheat). Its description in RNAcentral is "partial small subunit ribosomal RNA". The record is from RNAcentral. Lineage: Eukaryota; Viridiplantae; Streptophyta; Magnoliopsida; Poales; Poaceae.
AUGGUUCAGUAUGUGGAUUUGUUGAUUGCUGAAUCUACAUAUUCCAUGGUUCAGAUUAAAAUGACACAAUCUUCAGUUUAUUUGCAUGACACUGUCAGCAUAUACUGCUUGUGUACAGUAUGUUUACUCCAUGUUCAGAUUAAAAUGUGUCUCCAUAUCUUUUUUAGCCACAAGCAGAUCUUAGAUGUAAGGUUAGCAUUAGCUGGCCCUUAUUCUUUUUUAGCCAUUCAUCUUUGUAUAUGCUCUGCUUGUCUAGAGGGAUUUGAAUGCUUUGCUUGUCUGUCAGCAUAUUUGGAAUACAGAGAUGAUUGUGGCUGUACUCCAUAUAUGUAG